Molecule: ribosomal RNA, 521 nt
Filed under: Alternaria solani
Lineage: Eukaryota; Fungi; Ascomycota; Dothideomycetes; Pleosporales; Pleosporaceae
Description: eukaryotic LSU rRNA
Source: RNAcentral
AUCAUUACACAAAUAUGAAGGCGGGCUGGCCCUCCCGGGGUGGCCAGCCUUGCUGAAUUAUUCCACCCGUGUCGUUUGCGUACUUCUUGUUUCCUUGGUGGGCUCGCCCACCACAAGGACCAACCCAUGGACUUUUUGCAAAGGUAAUACUCGCAAGUAACGAUGUAAUGAUUUAGGCUUUCUGAACGGAUCUCUUGGUGCUGGCAUCAAUGAGAAUUGCAGAAUAAUGCGAAUCAUAGUGUCAAUUGCCGAAUUCUGCGCCCCUUGGAAUCCUUGGGGGCAUGCCUGGCCCUUUGGUAUUCCAACCUUCAUGCCUGUUCUGGCGUCAUUUGUACCCUCAAGCUUUGCUUGGUGUUGGGCGUCUUUUUGUCUCCCCUUGCGGGAGACUCGCCUUAAAGUCAUUGGCAGCCGGCCUACUGGUUUCGGAGCGCAACACAAGUCGCGCUCUCUUCCAGCCCCAAGGUCUAGCAUCCACCAAGCCUUUUUUUUCAACUUUUGACCUCGGAUCAGGUAGGGAUACC